UCCGGGGUUUCAAGGCCGAGAGCUGAUGACGAGUCGUCUUUUAGAUGACGAAGUGGUUGAUGCCAUGCUUCCAAGAAAAGCUUCUAAGCUUCAGGUAACCAGGAACCGUACCCCAAACCGACACAGGUGGUCGGGUAGAGAAUACCAAGGCGCUUGAGAGAACUCGGGUGAAGGAACUAGGCAAAAUGGCACCGUAACUUCGGGAGAAGGUGCGCCGGCUAGGGUGAAGGAUUUACUCCGUAAGCUCUGGCUGGUCGAAGAUACCAGGCCGCUGCGACUGUUUAUUAAAAACACAGCACUCUGCAAACACGAAAGUGGACGUAUAGGGUGUGACGCCCGCCCGGUGCCGGAAGGUUAAUUGAUGGGGUUAGCGCAAGCGAAGCUCUUGAUCGAAGCCCCGGUAAACGGCGGCCGUAACGAUAACGGUCCUAAGGUAGCGAAAUUCCUUGUCGGGUAAGUUCCGACCUGCACGAAUGGCGUAACGAUGGCGGCGCUGCCUCCACCCGAGACUCAGUGAAAUUGAAAUCGCUGUGAAGAUGCAGUGUAUCCGCGGCUAGACGGAAAGACCCCGUGAACCUUUACUGUAGCUUUGCACUGGACUUUGAGCCUGCUUGUGUAGGAUAGGUGGGAGGCUUUGAAGCGUGGACGCCAGUUCGCGUGGAGCCAUCCUUGAAAUACCACCCUGGCAUGCUUGAGGUUCUAACUCUGGUCCGUAAUCCGGAUCGAGGACAGUGUAUGGUGGGCAGUUUGACUGGGGCGGUCUCCUCCUAAAGAGUAACGGAGGAGUACGAAGGUGCGCUCAGACCGGUCGGAAAUCGGUCGCAGAGUAUAAAGGCAAAAGCGCGCUUGACUGCGAGACAGACACGUCGAGCAGGUACGAAAGUAGGUCUUAGUGAUCCGGUGGUUCUGUAUGGAAGGGCCAUCGCUCAACGGAUAAAAGGUACUCCGGGGAUAACAGGCUGAUACCGCCCAAGAGUUCAUAUCGACGGCGGUGUUUGGCACCUCGAUGUCGGCUCAUCACAUCCUGGGGCUGAAGCCGGUCCCAAGGGUAUGGCUGUUCGCCAUUUAAAGUGGUACGCGAGCUGGGUUUAGAACGUCGUGAGACAGUUCGGUCCCUAUCUGCCGUGGACGUUUGAGAUUUGAGAGGGGCUGCUCCUAGUACGAGAGGACCGGAGUGGACGAACCUCUGGUGUUCCGGUUGUCACGCCAGUGGCAUUGCCGGGUAGCUAUGUUCGGAAAAGAUAACCGCUGAAAGCAUCUAAGCGGGAAACUUGCCUCAAGAUGAGAUCUCACUGGGAACUUGAUUCCCCUGAAGGGCCGUCGAAGACUACGACGUUGAUAGGCUGGGUGUGUAAGCGUUGUGAGGCGUUGAGCUAACCAGUACUAAUUGCCCGUGAGGCUUGACC
This 1406-nucleotide ribosomal RNA is filed under the name metagenome. RNAcentral's name for it is "bacterial LSU rRNA". It matches the Rfam family "Bacterial large subunit ribosomal RNA", at positions 1541 to 2925 of the family's 2925-position model. The record is from RNAcentral.